Molecule: long non-coding RNA, 778 nt
Organism: Thunnus maccoyii (southern bluefin tuna)
Lineage: Eukaryota; Metazoa; Chordata; Actinopteri; Scombriformes; Scombridae
Exons: 3
Source: RefSeq, a predicted model, not a curated record
CAGAGAGAUGCCGGCUCACUCUAGUCAAGUGCUUUUUUUUUCAUUUGAGCUCAGCAUGGAACCCACAAAACACGUCAGCUCACGAAACCACAAGCAAUACGCCAGUAUGGGGAACCACAGCCACAGUGAUCAUAAGACCGAGCCCAGCAUGGAACCCAUUGAGUGCGUUAGCUCAUGAACCGCAAGCAAUACGCUGGAGCAGGGAACCAUUUGACUGGAGGAGAAAAGGAAAACCAGCAGCAAGGGAACAGCAAUCCAGGGAGGCUGCCCGUAGACAGAUGCUCAACUACAAGUUAUGUAGUGCAUUAUAAUUUCAGAGAAAAGUCAUGAAAAAGCUUGUGGGAAUCUGUGAGGAUGUGUGCCUAGAAGAAACAUCAUGGAAAUGCAGGAAAGUGCAAAGACUCAAAGAUUCCUGCAUGGGCUUCAACAGUUGAGGCACUAAACCUCCUUGACAAAUCUCUUGACUCCCUGGAGGAAAAGCAGAAACUGAUCAAUGGCUUGUCCACGGUGGGAGGAGUCCACUUGAAGGACAAUUUGAAUGGAAAUUGAGUAGAAUUUACAUUGUAUAGGGGACUCAGCAAUUGCGACUGGGCUAACUGGAAGCCUUCCUCAACAAACUGAUGGAGUACCUUCACUGACAUUUCCACUUCGACAAAACAAGCAUCUUGCUGAGGAUCUCUAUCACAAUGUGCAUAGUUUGUGUCAUAAAACUACGAUUACCUAUUUUUAUUAACUAGACUUUAAGGGUUAGUUUGUGUUGUAACUUCUGGAUAAAUGA